Molecule: ribosomal RNA, 492 nt
Filed under: uncultured bacterium
Lineage: Bacteria
Description: partial 16S ribosomal RNA
Rfam family: Bacterial small subunit ribosomal RNA
Source: RNAcentral
AGUGAACGCUGGCGGUAGGCCUAACACAUGCAAGUCGAACGGCAGCACAGUAAGAGCUUGCUCUUACGGGUGGCGAGUGGCGGACGGGUGAGGAAUACAUCGGACUCUACUUUUUCGUGGGGGAUAACGUAGGGAAACUUACGCUAAUACCGCAUACGACCUACGGGUGAAAGCAGGGGAUCUUCGGACCUUGCGCGAUUGAAUGAGCCGAUGUCGGAUUAGCUAGUUGGCGGGGUAAAGGCCCACCAAGGCGACGAUCCGUAGCUGGUCUGAGAGGAUGAUCAGCCACACUGGAACUGAGACACGGUCCAGACGCCUAAGGGAGGCAGCAGUGGGGAAUAUUGGACAAUGGGCGCAAGCCUGAUCCAGCCAUACCGCGUGGGUGAAGAAGGCCUUCGGGUUGUAAAGCCCUUUUGUUGGGAAAGAAAAGCAGCAGGUUAAUACCCCGCUGUUCUGACGGUACCCAAAGAAUAAGCACCGGCUAACUUCGUG